UACAGAGAGGGCGAGCGUUAUUCAUCGGAACUGGGCGUAAAGGGUGCGUAGGCGGACAUUACUUAGAAAAACUUGAUAGCAAUGUUUGUGUAUCGACACAAAGCUUAUCUCGCAAAGUUUGUCUAUUGAGAUAUGAGCAGGUUAUUGGAAAGCGAUGUUGAAAGGACCAACAAGUUCAAAAAUAUCGAGUAACACCAAUGGCGAAGGCAGAUAACCAGCCGUAAUCUGACGCUGAGGCACGAAACUUGUGGUAGCGAGAGGG
This 262-nucleotide ribosomal RNA is filed under the name uncultured bacterium. Its description in RNAcentral is "partial 16S ribosomal RNA". It matches the Rfam family "Bacterial small subunit ribosomal RNA", at positions 524 to 776 of the family's 1533-position model. The record is from RNAcentral.